GGAUAACACACAUCCAGUAGAAAGGAUCAUCUCCAGUAGUUGAAUGAAUGUCAUAGAGUGGUAACUGGCUGCACACCAGGAAAAUGAAGAGGGAAAUAACUCAUGUUGAAAGUGUAUGGCUUUUGGAAGUGCUCCUUUUGAUAUAACUCCAUUAGCUAUUAUUGUUUUCACAUCAAGCAAAUAAAAGUCCAUCAGGUCUGGUUGUAAUAGUGACUCAAACUAGUCAGAAAUCAACUCCUUAGUCCUAGCCCUAACAGGAGAAGUUUUAACAUCACCUCCUAAAGAGAAGGAUCAAAAGGAAAGCUACACUGCCGUUAUCACCCGACAACCCUUCUAUGGGAACAAGAAGUAAAAAAAAGAAGAAGAUAUAUCCCCAUCCAUGAACACUAGAAGCAAAAGGAAGUUAAUUUAGACCAUCUGAUGGCAUGCCAAGUUUCAUUUUUGACUUAGUUCUUUGAUGUGUUCGUGAGACUAUGUCACAAUACUAUGUAAUGGCAACAACAAUGUCUCAAGUUUUAGUGCAUGCCUGA
Phragmites australis (common reed) is the source of this 530-nucleotide long non-coding RNA. RefSeq lists it as uncharacterized. Lineage: Eukaryota; Viridiplantae; Streptophyta; Magnoliopsida; Poales; Poaceae. The transcript is spliced from 2 exons. The record is from RefSeq and is a predicted model, not a curated record.